Molecule: ribosomal RNA, 207 nt
Filed under: uncultured bacterium
Lineage: Bacteria
Description: partial 16S ribosomal RNA
Rfam family: Bacterial small subunit ribosomal RNA
Source: RNAcentral
CACGUAGGCGGACUUUUAAGUCGGAGGUGAAAUCCUGGAGCUCAACUCCAGAACUGCCUUCGAUACUGAGAGUCUUCGAGUUCGGGAGAGGUGAGUGGAACUGCGAGUGUAGAGGUGAAAUUCGUAGAUAUUCGCAAGAACACCAGUGGCGAAGGCGGCUCACUGGCCCGAUACUGACGCUGAGGUGCGAAAGCGUGGGAGCAAACA